Molecule: unclassified non-coding RNA, 362 nt
Filed under: Bombus terrestris (buff-tailed bumblebee)
Lineage: Eukaryota; Metazoa; Arthropoda; Insecta; Hymenoptera; Apidae
Description: misc RNA ENSBTSG00005024855.1
Source: RNAcentral
UGACCACUGGACCACUGUACUGGUCAUUACUUCAGCGUUCCAGAGCGAAUGACAAUCAAUUAUACGUCGCCUGUAUAUCACCGGCUCGUGUUCCUUCAGCAAGUUAUGUCGCAUGGGGACAUACACAGUUGACAAAUCCCUGGGGGAAAAUCCUUUAUGAUUUGGAAACUCAGGAAAAUAUGGUGGUCACCGAUAUCGAUAUAAUAAAUUAUUGAAAUUCCAUGAAGACAUAUUCUGGAACACAUUAGAAGAUUUUGCUGUAAUUUACAACGGAUGCUCCGAGUACGAACAGGCAGUAAACGAACAAAUAGAAAUUCAGGCUAUUGUGGUAGUAUAGCUCACGUGGGAUUUUAAGCUCGAAU